Molecule: ribosomal RNA, 301 nt
Filed under: uncultured bacterium
Lineage: Bacteria
Description: partial 16S ribosomal RNA
Rfam family: Bacterial small subunit ribosomal RNA
Source: RNAcentral
CAGCAGCCGCGGGAAUACGUAGGUGGCAAGCGCUGUCCGGAAUUAUUGGGCGUAAAGGGCUCGCAGGCGGUUUCUUAAGUCUGGUGUGAAAGCCCCCGGCUCAACCGGGGAGGGUCAUUGGAAACUGGGAAACUUGAGUGCAGAAGAGGAGAGUGGAAUUCCACGUGUAGCGGUGAAAUGCGUAGAGAUGUGGAGGAACACCAGUGGCGAAGGCGACUCUCUGGUCUGUAACUGACGCUGAGGAGCGAAAGCGUGGGGAGCGAACAGGAUUAGAUACCCCUGUAGUCCCUGUCUCUUAUAC